Mus musculus (house mouse) is the source of this 996-nucleotide long non-coding RNA. RefSeq annotates it as predicted gene, 41722. The record is from RefSeq and is a predicted model, not a curated record. NCBI's taxonomy places the organism in Eukaryota, Metazoa, Chordata, Mammalia, Rodentia, Muridae. The transcript is spliced from 3 exons.
CCGCUUCAGCCAUAUCCUGUUCCCCACAAGCCGCUGGACAGCACGCAACAGGAAACAAAUGAAGGUUUGAUAAAAACUUACAAACAAGCAAGCAUUUUACCACUGCACAUCUUGAGAAAACACAGUUACUUCCCACUAAUCUCUACUCAGCCUGACUGGGAGAACAGUUUAAAAGCCACCAAGAGGAUUGUCUGAGAGGAGGUGACUGGUCGUUAAGACAUCAUUGAUUUUUAAAGUAAUGUCAAGAUACACCCAUAACAUCUCACAAAGAUGCCUUCCCAACAUAUGUGCUGAACAAGGGCAGCACCAACAGCCAUGCCAGCGAUGAUGGAGAGAAGCCCAUAAAGGAUGUGUAGCAAAGAACUUCUGGCAACUAAAUGGACCUGGGAGCAGAAGAGGUUGCCCUUGCCAGAGGAGAGCAAACCCAUUGGUUGUCCAGUGACAAAUGCUCAGAUAUGAAAAUGUAUAUUUACAACAUAGGUUUGACUUCAAUGUAACUUGGCCUAGCUAGUAUAAUGUAGUGAAACAUUCUGAAGAAAUAAACAACCAUCAUUUUGACUUUAUUUGAGGAAUAUAAAUAUUGUUAAUAGUAUGUUAACAUUUUUUUAAUGAUGAAAUUUUAUCUUUACUGAAUAUCAUAUAGUUUUUUUUCUUAAUUUUGUACAUAUAACAGGUAAUUUAUGCCUAGCUGUUAAAUAAAUCUUUAUCUUCCAGGAAAUUUUUUAAGUUGUCAUUUGACUAUGAAAUUACACCAGUGUUCAGAAAUAUUCUAGCUACUGAUAUCACCUAGCAAACAGAAAUAUGAUUUAAUUAAAAAUUCCAGGCUAUGAAUCUACUUAAGAAACACUGAUGAAUUAAUUGCUUUUUUAUCCUUUUUUUUUUUUUAGCUAAUUUAUCCUCUCACAUAUACAUCCCAAAGCAGUUUCCCCUCCAUCCUCUCCUCCCAUUUCCUCCCACAGCCUUCUCCCUUCCUAUCUUUGCCUCCUCCAUUUCCCU